RNAcentral lists this long non-coding RNA (580 nucleotides) under Brachypodium distachyon (stiff brome). Its description in RNAcentral is "long non-coding RNA (BDIS_LNC002685)". Lineage: Eukaryota; Viridiplantae; Streptophyta; Magnoliopsida; Poales; Poaceae. The record is from RNAcentral.
CUACAACAAGAUCUCUUAGCAAGCUUUGUCCAGCUCAUGUGAUAGAGGUGUGACGAGGUUGUCCGCUUUCAGCUCAUUCGAGUGAUUGUUGCCAUCGUUAGGUGGUUCAAAAACUUAUUUGUAAUUUUUGUUAGUUUUAGACCUUCUUUAUUCUUCAUCGGUGGGAACAGAGAAAGUUGGGCCAUACAAGGGAUCAUCUACCUACCAUCAAACAACAAAGCUUUCGCUCAAAAAGAAAAAAAAUCAAACGACAAAGCUACAUGUUGUUACUGACAGAGGCGCAAGGAAGAUCUCUCUCUCACACACACACGGCGGGGCCGGGGACUGAAAUCUUACUCCCCCAAAAGAAAACAGAACGGUGUACACAAGGAAUUGCUUACAUGGUUCAGCAGCGUGCCAGCUGCACCCCGACGGAAGCGCGCAUAAUUACAAACAGCACCAACGUAUCGCUUCAUGAAUUUCUCGACCGAGCAGCACUACUGCAAAUGUUGAUCGACGCCGUCGUUCUCAACUCGCGAGUGGGAGUAAUUGAUCAAGCUAACACUGCCAAGAAUUAAUUUCCUUAAUUGUGUGUAGGGCC